Amblyraja radiata (thorny skate) is the source of this 1715-nucleotide long non-coding RNA. RefSeq lists it as uncharacterized. The transcript has 4 exons. The record is from RefSeq and is a predicted model, not a curated record. Lineage: Eukaryota; Metazoa; Chordata; Chondrichthyes; Rajiformes; Rajidae.
CUUCAAGUGUACCCUACUGUAGAUGAGGGGGUGGAGAGAUUGGUAUGGUAGGGACAUGAGGGCUUCAUGCUGUGUUCAGCUGUAGAUACCCCAGCAACAAACCCUCGCCUGAAGGGCUCAGUGUGUGUGGGCUCUGGGGUCAUAUAGGUAUUUAAAGAGGAGAUACAGCGUUUUUGUGGCUUACGGAUUAGGUGGCGGGAAGCGGUACAGGAGGUGAGAGCAGCCAUGAUCAUAUGGAACGGCUGGGCUUGAAGGGCCGAUGGGCUUGUUGUGUGAAUGCUGCGUGAAUUAGCAUGACAUGUUUGUCAUUGGAGUACAGCGUUGGGCUCAAGCACCUUUAGAUCUAACACCGAACACAAUUCAUCACCUUUAGAUUAGCCUCUAAACUGCUCAAUAUAUAGGAAAUUUAAAAUUUGUUUAAUUUUGUUCAUUCUAAUUUCACUCUUUAAAAGUGAAAGCGAAAUUAAUUUUAUCAUCAGCAUUUGUUGUUGGGAUUGAUGGAAAGAACAUAUUCUGCGCCUCUCAAUGCAUGAAAAUGUAUUUAUUAGAAGCUUUAACAGAGGGGCAGUGCCUUAAAUCCAAUAAACAUUAAAAAUGCCAAUGCUGGAAAUGUGAAGCUGGUGAAGGGCUUUUGACAGGAAACGUUUUUCUGUCCUUGGAUGCUGCCUGACCUGAAGAGACGUUCCAGCACUUUGUUUCAAUCUUCCAGCGCCUGCAGUUAUUUUUUGUUUUCAUCGGUGGUGGGGUGGAAGAUUGAAGAAUUUAUCACCAUGUCACUUUCUGAUGAGGGAGAGCCUGCAUUAAUGGUGAAUCGGUGAAGAAUGACUUCUUGUGGAGAGAAAAACAACUGGUUUUACAAAUGUGGAAGGUCCCUAACUUGUCAAUCCAAGAGGCUUGACAAGUUAGUUACAUCUUUGUAUUCCAAUAUAUUCUAAAACAGAAAAAGCAGCAUCUAGGUAAAAGGUUGAAGACCGAAGACCUCUUCAGAUGUGCACACACCACUCCACCAAUAAUUAAAUCCAAAUGAAACGGGUCAGUGUGAUUGUUCUGCUGUGGUUUAUUUACCAAGCAGAUGGCUGCUGUGGGUGGAACCACAUGGAAACAAAUGGGAAACUGGAAGAAGGAGAGGGAGCGAUUCUGGCCAUUGCAGAGAUGGAAAGAUCUGCAGAAAAAGUGAAAGGUGUGUUAAUUGGUGUCACGCAUAUUUCACAGAGGGGCGCAGGCCAAAGCAACCAAGCAUAUGCAGGUUGGGAGUUCAAAUAUUGAGGGUGGGUUUGAGAACACACAAUAGUACAACACAGGCACAGACCAUUGCUGAUCAUGGUGUCAAUCUAAACUAAUCUCAUCUGCCUGUACAAGGUACGUAUAUCCCUCCAUUCCCUGCCUGUUCACGAUCUUUCUAAAUGCUACUAUAUUUGUUUCUAACACAUCUGCCGCCAGUGCGUUCUAGGCAUCAACCACUCUGUAAUACAAAACUUGCCUCCUGAAUGUCCUUUAAACUCUUCCCUUCUCACGUAAGGCUGUGCCUUCUAGUCUUUGACAUUUCCACCCUGGGAAAAAGACUGAUCAUCUAUCUACCUUAUAUCUAUCAAAAAACGUGAAAUGGGUUAAUGAGUAAAUUUGCUGACGAUGACAAUAUUGGAGGAGUUGCAGACUGAGGCAGGCUGCCAAAGAUACAACAGGAUAUAGCAGAAAUGGGUGGAGAAAUGGCAGAU